GGACUACAAGGGUAUCUAAUCCCGUUCACUCCCCUAGCUUUCGUGCCUCAGCGUCAGAAAAGGCCCAGUGUGCCGCUUUCGCUGCUGGCGUUCCUUCCGAUCUCUACACAUUUCACCGCUCCACCGGAAGUUCCACACACCCCUACCUCACUCAAGUCAACUAGUUUCACGCGCAGUUUUCUGGUUGAGCCAGAAGAUUUCACACGUGACUUAGAUGACCGCCUACGCACCCUUUAAGCCCAGUGAUUCCGAAUAACGUUCGCACAGUUCGUAUUACCGCGGCGGCUGGCAC
This 292-nucleotide ribosomal RNA is filed under the name uncultured bacterium. Its description in RNAcentral is "partial 16S ribosomal RNA". The record is from RNAcentral. RNAcentral also lists the same sequence under 2 other names.